This is a long non-coding RNA of Sander lucioperca (pikeperch), 378 nucleotides long. RefSeq lists it as uncharacterized. The transcript has 3 exons. The record is from RefSeq and is a predicted model, not a curated record. Lineage: Eukaryota; Metazoa; Chordata; Actinopteri; Perciformes; Percidae.
CUAGGGAUGUAACUGUAGCAAGCAUCUCACUAUCACUAACGUUAUCCACAUUCCCAUUUAGACGCAACAAAUGAUAUAUUUAGCUACAAAAAGUUGGGUAAGUACAAGGAGUCGUUGCUCUGGAGAGGAUACACCGUCUGGUCUGGUCACGGUUCACAACGCUGCAGACCCACGAGAUGCAAGGAGCUGCACCUUUUAACUCGUGAAUCUUUGGUCUGAACUGGUCUUAAUAGACUUGGUACCAUUACAGAAUGUUUUUUUUUUUUUUCCCAAUACCAACACUCUCAAGUUGCAUGUUGUCUAAACACAAGCAACCGCACAAGAUUUUUGCCUAAAUACAGUGAAAAACUGUCAGGAUAUGGUUCAAUUCAGGAGUUA